CAAAAAGUUCAUUUGGAUUUUCCAUAAGACGUUCUUGGGAAAACCCAGACGAACUUUUUGGC
Molecule: microRNA precursor, 62 nt
Organism: Bison bison bison
Lineage: Eukaryota; Metazoa; Chordata; Mammalia; Artiodactyla; Bovidae
Source: Ensembl